RNAcentral lists this ribosomal RNA (491 nucleotides) under uncultured bacterium. RNAcentral's name for it is "partial 16S ribosomal RNA". It matches the Rfam family "Bacterial small subunit ribosomal RNA", at positions 29 to 506 of the family's 1533-position model. The record is from RNAcentral.
AGUGAACGCUGGCGGUAGGCCUAACACAUGCAAGUCGAACGGCAGCACAGUAAGAGCUUGCUCUUACGGGUGGCGAGUGGCGGACGGGUGAGGAAUACAUCGGAAUCUACUUUUUCGUGGGGGAUAACGUAGGGAAACUUACGCUAAUACCGCAUACGACCUACGGGUGAAAGCAGGGGAUCUUCGGACCUUGCGCGAUUGAAUGAGCCGAUGUCGGAUUAGCUAGUUGGCGGGGUAAAGGCCCACCAAGGCGACGAUCCGUAGCUGGUCUGAGAGGAUGAUCAGCCACACUGGAACUGAGACACGGUCCCGACUCCUACGGGAGGCAGCAGUGGGGAAUAUUGGACAAUGGGCGCAAGCCUGAUCCAGCCAUACCGCGUGGGUGAAGAAGGCCUUCGGGUUGUAAAGCCCUUUUGUUGGGAAAGAAAAGCAGCAGGUUAAUACCCCGCUGUUCUGACGGUACCCAAAGAAUAAGCACCGGCUAACUUCGU